GAUGCCCAUCAUAUAAUACAGAUGUAAUUCCAGUACUAUGUACACAUACAAGCUAGUAUAUUUUCACUGUACUCCACACAUGGCUCAUCACAUCCAGCCCAUCAGGUCUACGCAGUGCCCCCUAGUUUAUUGGGCUAGAGAGUAUAUGAUGCCCAUCAUGUAGUACAGAUGUACUUCUAGUACUAUGUACACAUACAAUCUAGUAUAUUUUCACUGCACUGGAGUAGUUAAAUUAAUAAUGACACAUUUACAAUAUCCUGGGCAUUGCUAAUUAAUUAAGGCGCGCCAAUAUACUCGUACCCGUAGGAACUACGACCAGCUGCCACCUGAAAGCAUUCAUGCAAAGAGGAUAGAAGAACACGCCAUGUCCGUGGUAAGGCUGUGCAUCGCAAGAACUAAGAAGAACAAAGGACUUGGCAUUGGUUUUAUCGUGGUCAACACCGCAAACAAGCUUGUGGUCAUGACUUGUGGCCACUCGUUAAAUGAAUGGGUUAAGGGCACAAAGGUAGGCGUCACAUUCUAUAACAGGAGAGAUUCUAGUGCUGAAGCGAUGUGGGUUAAUACAGAGAAGGAGGUUGCAUUGCUUCUCAUAAGUACCUCUCCAAUCUCGAACUCUCUGCGUAUCCUACUGUCUAUUUCUCGUACGAUGAUGUUAGAGUUGGGCUAAAUACAUGUCCUAUCACAUCCAGCCCAUCAGGUCUACGCAGUGCCCCCAGUUUAUUGGGCUAGAGAGUAUAUGAUGCCCAUCAUGUAGUACAGAUGUACUUCUAGUACUAUAUACACAUAUAACCUAGUAUAUUUUCAGCCCGAAAGCAUUAAUGCAAAGAGGAUAGAAGAAGAACACGCCAUGUCCGUGGUAAGGCUUUACAUCGCAAGAACUAAGAAGAACAAAGGACGUGGCACCGGUUUUAUCGUGGUCAACACCGCGAACAAGCUUGUGGUCAUAACCUGUGGCCACCCGUUAAAUGAAUGGGUUAGGGGCACAAAGGUAGGCGUCACAUUCCAUGACAUGGGAGAUGCUAGUGCCGAAGCGGUGUGGGUUAAUACAGAGAAGGAGGUUGCAUUGCUUCUCAUAGAUACCUCUUCUAAUCCUGAACUCUCUGCGUAUCCUGCUGUCGAUUUCUCGUACGAUGACGUUGGAGUUGGAGAUUUUCUCGUGACGCUUGGGCAUCCUCAUGGCAUGCGGGGCUAUCACGAUGUAUGGAACAAUUUCGGCUUGGUCACCUAAGUUGCUUCCAUCCUAAAACAGCUACUGUUAAUCACGUACGAAUAAUUAACACACGUGCGCGCACACAGAGGCGUACAGUGCAUGCAUAUUGAUAUUUGGUAACGUGCACUACAUGGAUGUAUACUUGAAGCAAGGAGGUCGGUCCUACUGCCACUGGUUUGGGCAGUAUUGUCCAAAUAUUUAAUUAGUGGUGGCUUUGCCACCGGUUCGGGCGCGUGCGGCUCACCAGGUUUUGGAGUAGAUGGCCGGGUGGUAGGCAUGAUCAUCUCUGGAGUCCAAGAUAUGACAUAUAUUUCUUUCAGUGGGGUGGAUAUGGGAGACACUACAGAUGUACUUCUAGUACUAUGUAUGUGUCUAGUAUACGUUCACUGUACUCCACACAUAGCCCAUCACAUCAAGCCCAUCAAGUCGACGCAGUGCCGUGGUAAGGCUGUGCAUCGCAAGAACUACGAAGAACAAAGGACAUGGCACCGGUUUUAUCGUGGUCAAUACCGCGAACAAGCUUGUGGUGAUGACCUGUGGCCACCCGUUAAAUGAAUGGGUUAGGGGCACAAAGGUAGGCGUCACAUUGCAUGACAUGGGAGAUGCUAGUGCCGAAGCGGUGUGGGUUAAUACAGAGAAGGAGGUUGCAUUGCUUCUCAUAGAUACCUCUUCUAAUCCUGAACUCUCUGCGUAUCCUGCUGUCGAUUUCUCGUACGAUGACGUUGGAGUUGGAGAUUUUCUCGUGACGCUUGGGCAUCCUCAUGGCAUGCGGGGCUAUCACGAUGUAUGGAACAAUUUCGGCUUGGUCACCUAAGUUGCUUCCAUCCUAAAACAGCUACUGUUAAUCACGUACGAAUAAUUAACACACGUGCGCGCACACAGAGGCGUACAGUGCAUGCAUAUUGAUAUUUGGUAACGUGCACUACAUGGAUGUAUACUUGCAGCAAGGAGGUCGGUCCUACUGCCACUGGUUUGGGCAGUAUUGUCCAAAUAUUUAAUUAGUGGUGACUUUGCCACCGGUCCGGGCGCGUGCGGCUCACCAGUUUUUGAGUAGAUGGCCGGGUGGUAGGCAUGAUCAUCUCUGGAGUCCAAGAUAUGACAUAUGUUUCUUUCGGUGGGGUGGAUAUGGGAGACACUACAGAUGUACUUCUAGUACUAUGUAUGUGUCUAGUAUACGUUCACUGUACUCCACACAUGGCCCAUCACAUCAAGCCCAUCAGGUCGACGCAGUACCGUGGUAAGGCUGUGCAUCGCAAGAAGUAAGAAGAACAAAGGACGUGGCACCGGUUUUAUCGUGGUCAACACCGCGAACAAGCUUGUGGUGAUGACCUGUGGCCACCCGUUAAAUGAAUGGGUUAGGGGCACAAAGGUAGGCGUCACAUUCCAUGACAUGGGAGAUGCUAGUGCCGAAGCGGUGUGGGUUAAUACAGAGAAGGAGGUUGCAUUGCUUCUCAUAGAUACCUCUUCUAAUCCUGAACUCUCUGCGUAUCCUGCUGUCGAUUUCUCGUACGAUGACGUUGGAGUUGGAGAUUUUCUCGUGACGCUUGGGCAUCCUCAUGGCAUGCGGGGCUAUCACGAUGUAUGGAACAAUUUCGGCUUGGUCACCUAAGUUGCUUCCAUCCUAAAACAGCUACUGUUAAUCACGUACGAAUAAUUAACACACGUGCGCGCACACAGAGGCGUACAGUGCAUGCAUAUUGAUAUUUGGUAACGUGCACUACAUGGAUGUAUACUUGCAGCAAGGAGGUCGGUCCUACUGCCACUGGUUUGGGCAGUAUUGUCCAAAUAUUUAAUUAGUGGUGGCUUUGCCACCGGUUCGGGCGCGUGCGGCUCACCAGGUUUUGGAGUAGAUGGCCGGGUGGUAGGCAUGAUCAUCUCUGGAGUCCAAGAUAUGACAUAUAUUUCUUUCCGUGGGGUGGAUAUGGGAGACACUACAGAUGUACUUCUAGUACUAUGUAUGUGUCUAGUAUACGUUCACUGUACUCCACACAUGGCCCAUCACAUCAAGCCAAUCAGGUCGACGCAGUACCGUGGUAAGGCUGUGCAUCGCAAGAAGUAAGAAGAACAAAGGACGUGGCACCGGUUUUAUCGUGGUCAACACCGCGAACAAGCUUGUGGUGAUGACCUGUGGCCACCCGUUAAAUGAAUGGGUUAGGGGCACAAAGGUAGGCGUCACAUUCCAUGACAUGGGAGAUGCUAGUGCCGAAGCGGUGUGGGUUAAUACAGAGAAGGAGGUUGCAUUGCUUCUCAUAGAUACCUCUUCUAAUCCUGAACUCUCUGCGUAUCCUGCUGUCGAUUUCUCGUACGAUGAUGUUGGAGUUGGAGAUUUUCUCGUGACGCUUGGGCAUCCUCAUGGCAUGCGGGGCUAUCACGAUGUAUGGAACAAUUUCGGCUUGGUCACCUAAGUUGCUUCCAUCCUAAAACAGCUACUGUUAAUCACGUACGAAGGAUUAACACACGUGCGCGCACACAGAGGCGUACAGUGCAUGCAUAUUGAUAUUUGGUAACGUGCACUACAUGGAUGUAUACUUGCAGCAAGGAGGUCGGUCCUACUGCCACUGGUUUGGGCAGUAUUGUCCAAAUAUUUAAUUAGUGGUGGCUUUGCCACCGGUCCGGGCGCGUGCGGCUCACCAGGUUUUGGAGUAGAUGGCCGGGUGGUAGGCAUGAUCAUCUCUGGAGUCCAAGAUAUGACAUAUGUUUCUUUCGGUGGGGUGGAUAUGGGAGACACUACAGAUGUACUUCUAGUACUAUGUAUGUGUCUAGUAUACGUUCACUGUACUCCACACAUGGCCCAUCACAUCAAGCCAAUCAGGUCGACGCAGUACCGUGGUAAGGCUGUGCAUCGCAAGAAGUAAGAAGAACAAAGGACGUGGCACCGGUUUUAUCGUGGUCAACACCGCGAACAAGCUUGUGGUGAUGACCUGUGGCCACCCGUUAAAUGAAUGGGUUAGGGGCACAAAGGUAGGCGUCACAUUCCAUGACAUGGGAGAUGCUAGUGCCGAAGCGGUGUGGGUUAAUACAGAGAAGGAGGUUGCAUUGCUUCUCAUAGAUACCUCUUCCAAUCUUGAAUUCUCUGCGUAUCCUGCUGUCGAUUUCUCGUACGAUGACGUUGGAGUUGGAGAUUUUCUCGUGACGCUUGGGCAUCCUCAUGGCAUGCGGGGCUAUCACGAUGUAUGGAACAAUUUCGGCUUGGUCACCUAAGUUGCUUCCAUCCUAAAACAGCUACUGUUAAUCACGUACGAAUAAUUAACACACGUGCGCGCACACAGAGGCGUACAGUGCAUGCAUAUUGAUAUUUGGUAACGUGCACUACAUGGAUGUAUACUUGCAGCAAGGAGGUCGGUCCUACUGCCACUGGUUUGGGCAGUAUUGUCCAAAUAUUUAAUUAGUGGUGGCUUUGCCACCGGUUCGGGCGCGUGCGGCUCACCAGGUUUUGGAGUAGAUGGCCGGGUGGUAGGCAUGAUCAUCUCUGGAGUCCAAGAUAUGACAUAUAUUUCUUUCCGUGGGGUGGAUAUGGGAGACACUACAGAUGUACUUCUAGUACUAUGUAUGUGUCUAGUAUACGUUCACUGUACUCCACACAUGGCCCAUCACAUCAAGCCAAUCAGGUCGACGCAGUACCGUGGUAAGGCUGUGCAUCGCAAGAAGUAAGAAGAACAAAGGACGUGGCACCGGUUUUAUCGUGGUCAACACCGCGAACAAGCUUGUGGUGAUGACCUGUGGCCACCCGUUAAAUGAAUGGGUUAGGGGCACAAAGGUAGGCGUCACAUUCCAUGACAUGGGAGAUGCUAGUGCCGAAGCGGUGUGGGUUAAUACAGAGAAGGAGGUUGCAUUGCUUCUCAUAGAUACCUCUUCUAAUCCUGAACUCUCUGCGUAUCCUGUUGUCGAUUUCUCGUACGAUGAUGUUGGAGUUGGAGAUUUUCUCGUGACGCUUGGGCAUCCUCAUGGCAUGCGGGGCUAUCACGAUGUAUGGAACAAUUUCGGCUUGGUCACCUAAGUUGCUUCCAUCCUAAAACAGCUACUGUUAAUCACGUACGAAGGAUUAACACACGUGCGCGCACACAGAGGCGUACAGUGCAUGCAUAUUGAUAUUUGGUAACGUGCACUACAUGGAUGUAUACUUGCAGCAAGGAGGUCGGUCCUACUGCCACUGGUUUGGGCAGUAUUGUCCAAAUAUUUAAUUAGUGGUGGCUUUGCCACCGGUCCGGGCGCGUGCGGCUCACCAGGUUUUGGAGUAGAUGGCCGGGUGGUAGGCAUGAUCAUCUCUGGAGUCCAAGAUAUGACAUAUGUUUCUUUCGGUGGGGUGGAUAUGGGAGACACUACAGAUGUACUUCUAGUACUAUGUAUGUGUCUAGUAUACGUUCACUGUACUCCACACAUGGCCCAUCACAUCAAGCCAAUCAGGUCGACGCAGUACCGUGGUAAGGCUGUGCAUCGCAAGAAGUAAGAAGAACAAAGGACGUGGCACCGGUUUUAUCGUGGUCAACACCGCGAACAAGCUUGUGGUGAUGACCUGUGGCCACCCGUUAAAUGAAUGGGUUAGGGGCACAAAGGUAGGCGUCACAUUCCAUGACAUGGGAGAUGCUAGUGCCGAAGCGGUGUGGGUUAAUACAGAGAAGGAGGUUGCAUUGCUUCUCAUAGAUACCUCUUCCAAUCUUGAAUUCUCUGCGUAUCCUGCUGUCGAUUUCUCGUACGAUGACGUUGGAGUUGGAGAUUUUCUCGUGACGCUUGGGCAUCCUCAUGGCAUGGGGGGCUAUCACGAUGUAUGGAACAAUUUUGGCUUGGUCAACUAAGUUGCUUCCAUCCUAAACCAGCUACUGUUAAUCACGUACGAAUAAUUAACACAUGUGCGCGCACACAGAGGCGUACAAUGCAUGCAUAUUGAUAUUUGCUAACGUGCACUACAUGAAUGUAUACUUGCAGCAAGGAGGUCGGUCCUACUGCCACUGGUUUGGGCAGUAUUGUCCAAAUAUUUAAUUAGUGGUGACUUUGCCACCGGUCCGAGCGCGUGCGGCUCACCAGUUUUUGGAGUAGAUGGCCGGGUGGUAGGCAUGAUCAUCUUUGGAGUCCAAGAUAUGACAUAUGUUUCUUUCAGUGGGGUGGAUAUGGGAGACACUACAGAUGUACUUCUAGUACUAUGUAUGUGUCUAGUAUACGUUCACUGUACUCCACACAUAGCCCAUCACAUCAAGCCCAUCAAGUCGACGCAGUGCCGUGGUAAGGCUGUGCAUCGCAAGAACUACGAAGAACAAAGGACGUGGCACCGGUUUUAUCGUGGUCAACACCGCGAACAAGUUUGUGGUGAUGACCUGUGGCCACCCGUUAAAUGAAUGGGUUAGGGGCACAAAGGUAGGCGUCACAUUCCAUGACAUGGGAGAUGCUAGUGCCGAAGCGGUGUGGGUUAAUACAGAGAAGGAGGUUGCAUUGCUUCUCAUAGAUACCUCUUCUAAUCCUGAACUCUCUGCGUAUCCUGCUGUCGAUUUCUCGUACGAUGACGUUGGAGUUGGAGAUUUUCUCGUGACGCUUGGGCAUCCUCAUGGCAUGCGGGGCUAUCACGAUGUAUGGAACAAUUUCGGCUUGGUCACCUAAGUUGCUUCCAUCCUAAAACAGCUACUGUUAAUCACGUACGAAUAAUUAACACACGUGCGCGCACAUGGAGGCGUACAGUGCAUGCAUAUUGAUAUUUGCUAACGUGCACUACAUGAAUGUAUACUUGCAGCAAGGAGGUCGGUCCUACUGCCACUGGUUUGGGCAGUAUUGUUCAAAUAUUUAAUUAGUGAUGACUUUGCCACCGGUCCGGGCGCGUGCGGCUCACCUGUUUUUGGAGUAGGUGGCCGGGUGGUAGGCAUGAUCAUCUCUGCAGUCCAAGAUAUGACAUAUGUUCUUUCAGUGGGGUGGAUAUGGAAGACACUACAGAUGUACUUCUAGUACUAUGUAUUUGUCUAGUAUACAUUCACUGUACUCCACACAUGGCCCAUCACAUCAAGCCCAUCAGGUCGACGCAGUGCCCCCCCAGUUUAUUGGGCGAGAGAGGAUAUGGUGCCCAUCAUGUAGUACAGAUAUAGUUCUCGUACUAUGUACACAUACACUGUACUCCACACAUGGCCCAUCACAUCCAUCCCGUCAGGUCUAUGCAGUGCCCCUCAAUUUUUUGGGCUAGAGAGUAUAUGAUGCCCAUCAUGUAGUACAAAUGUACUUCUAGUACUGUGUACACAAACAAGCUCGUAAAUUUUCACGACACUGGAGUAGUUAAAUUAAUAAUGGCACAUAUACAAUAUCCUGGGCAUUGCUAGUUAAUUAAGACGCGCCAGUAUACUCGUACUCGCAGGAACUAUGACCAACUGCCACCAGGAAGCAUUCAUGCAAAGAGGAUAGAAGAAGAACACGCCAUGUCCGUGGUAAGGCUGUGCAUCGCAAGAACUAAGAAGAACAAAGGACGUGGGACCGGUUUUAUCGUGGUCAACACCGCGAACAAGCUUGUGGUCAGGACCUAUGGCCACCCGUUAAAUGAAUGGGUUAGGGGCACAAAGGUAGGCGUCACAUUCCAUGACAUGAGAGAUGCUAGUGCCGAAGCGGUGUGGGUUAAUAUAGAGAAGGAGGUUGCAUUACUUCUCAUAGAUACCUCUUCCAAUCCUGAACUCUCUGCGUAUCUUGCUGUCGAUUUCUCGUACGAUGACGUUAGAGUUGGAGAUUUUCUCGUGGCACUUGGGCAUCCGCAUGGCAUGCGGAGAUAUCACGAUGUAUGGAACAAUUUCGGUUUGGUCACCUAACUUUCUUCCAUCCUAGAACAGCUACUGUUAAUCACGUAAGAAUAAUUAACACACGUGUGCGCACACAGUGCAUGCAUAUUGAUAGUAGCUAACGUGCACUACAUGAAUGUAUACUUGCAGCAAGGAGGUCGGUCCUACUGCCACUGGUUUGGGCAGUAUUGUCCAAAUAUUUAAUUGGUGGUGACUUUGGCACCAGUCCGGGCAUGUGCGGCUCACCAGUUUUUGGAGUAGAUGGCCGGGUGGUAUUCAUGACCAUCUCUGACGUCCAAGAUAUGACAUAUGUUCUUUCAGUGGGGUGGAUAUGGGAGACACUACAGAUAUACUUCUAGUACUAUGUAUGUGUCUAGUAUAGGUUCAUUUUACUCCACACAUGACCCAUCACAUCAAGCCAAUCAGGUCGACGCAGUGCCCCCCCCCAUUUUAUUGGGCUAGAGAGGAUAUGAUGCCCAUCAUGUAAUACAGAUGUAUUUCUAGUACUAUGUACACAUACACUGUACUCCACACAUGGCCCAUCACAUCCAGCCCAUCAGGUCUAUGCAGUGCCCCUCAGUUUAUUAGGCUGGAGAGUAUAUGAUGCCCAUCAUGUAGUACAGAUGUACUUCUAGUACUAUAUACACAUACAAGCUCGUAUAUUUUCACUGCAAUGGAGUAGUUAAAUUAAUAAUGGCACAUUUUACAAUAUCGUGGGCAUUGCUAAUUAAUUAAGACGCGCCAGUAUACUCGUACCCGCAGGAGCUAUGACCAGCUGCCACCCGGAAGCAUUCAUGCAAAGAGGAUAGAAGAAGAACACGCCAUGUCCGUUGUAAGGCUGUGCAUCGCAAGAACUAAGAAGAACAAAGGAUGUGGCACCGGUUUUGUCAUGGUCGACACCGCGAACAAGCUUGUGGUCAUGACCUGUGCCCACUCGUUAAAUGAAUGGGUUAGGGGCACAAAGGAAUGCGUCUCAUUCCAUGGCAUGGGAGAUGCUAGUGUCGAAGCGGUGUGGGUUAAUACAGAGAAGGAGGUAGCAUUGCUUCUCAUAGAUACCUCUUCCAAUCCUUAACUCUCUACGUAUCCUGCUGUCGAUUUCUUGUACGAUGAUGUUAGAGUUGGACAUUUUCUCGUGACGCUUGGGCAUCGUCAUGGCAUGCGGGGCUAUCACGAUACAUGGAACAAUUUCGGCUUGGUCACCUAAGUUGCUUCCAUCCAAAAAAAAAAUACUGUUAAUCACGUACGAAUAAUUAGUACACGUGCGCGCGCAUAGAGGCGUACAGUGCAUGCAUAUUGAUAGUAGCUAACGUGCACUACAUGAAUGUAUACUUGCAGCGAGGAGGUCGGUCCUACUGCCACUGGUUUGGGCAGUAUUGUCCAAAUAUUUAAUUAGGGGUGAAUUUGGCACCGGUACGGGCGCGUGCGGCUCACCAAUUUUUGGAGUAGAUGGCCGGUUGGUAGGCAUGAGCAUCUCUGGAGUCCAAGAUAUGACAUAUGUUCUUUCAGUGGGAUGGAUAUGGGAGACACUACAGAUGUACUUCUAGUACUAUGUAUGUGUCUAGUAUAGGUUCACUGUACUCCAUACAUGGCCCAUCACAUCAAGCCCAUCAGGUCUACGCAGUGCCCCCAGUUAGUUGGGCAAGAGAGGAUAUGGUGCCCAUCAUGUAGUACAGAUGUAUUUCUAGUACUAUGUACACAUACUGUACUCCACCCACGGCCCAUCACAUCCAGCCCAUCAGGUCUAUGCAGUGCCCCUCAGUUUAUUUUGGGCUAGAGAGUAUAUGAUGCCCACAUGUAGUACAGAUGUACUUCUAGUACUAUGUCCACAUACAAGCUAGUAUAUUUUCACUACACUGGAGUAGUUAAAUUAAUAAUGGCACAUUUACAAUAUCCUGGGCAUUGCUAAUUAAUUAAGGCUUUGUAACCGCAGAAACUAUGACCAGCUGCCACUCGAAAGCAUUCAUGCAAAGAGGAUAGACGAAGAACAUGCCAUGUCCGUGGUAAGGCUGUGCAUCACAAGAACUAAUUAGAAUAAAGGACGUGGCACCGGUCUUAUCGUGGUCAACACCGCGAACAAGCUUGUGGUCAGGACCUAUGGCCACCCGUUAAAUGAAUGGGUUAGGGGCACAAAGGUAGGCGUCACUUUCCAUGACAUGAGAGAUGCUAGUGCCGAAGCGGUGUGGGUUAAUAUAGAGAAGGAGGUUGCAUUACUUCUCAUAGAUACCUCUUCCAAUCCUGAACUCUCUGCGUAUCUUGCUGUCGAUUUCUCGUACGAUGACGUUAGAGUUGGAGAUUUUCUCGUGGCACUUGGGCAUCCGCAUGGCAUGCGGAGCUAUCACGAUGUAUGGAACAAUUUCGGUUUGGUCACCUAACUUUCUUCCAUCCUACAACAGCUACUGUUAAUCACGUAAGAAUAAUUAACACACGUGUGCGCACACAGUGCAUGCAUAUUGAUAGUAGCUAACGUGCACUACAUGAAUGUAUACUUGCAGCAAGGAGGUCGGUCCUACUGCCACUGGUUUGGGCAGUAUUGUCCAAAUAUUUAAUUGGUGGUGACUUUGUCACAGGUCCGGGCGCGUGCAGCUCACCUGUUUUUGGAGUAGAUGGCCGGGUGGUAGGGAUGAUCAUCUCUGGAGUCCAAGAUAUGAAAUAUGUUCUUUCAGUGGGGUGGAUAUGGGAGACACUACAGAUGUACUUCUGGUACUAUGUAUGUGUCUAGUAUACGUUCACUGUACUCCACACAUGGCCCAUCACAUCAAGCCCAUCAGGUCGACGCAGUGCCCCCCCCAGUUUAUUGGGCGAGAGAGGAUAUGGUGCCCAUCAUGUAGUACAGAUGUAUUUCUCGUACUAUGUACACAUACACUGUACUCCACAGAUGGCCCAUCACAUCCAGCCCAUUAGGUUUAUGCAGUGCCCCUCAAUUUUUUGGGCUAGAGAGUAUAUGAUGCCCACAUGUAGUACAGAUGUACUUCUAGUACUAUGUACACAUACAAGCUAGUAUAUUUUCACUGCACUGGAGUAGUUAAAUUAAUAAUGGCACUUUUACAAUAUCCUGGGCAUUGCUAAUUAAUUAAGGCGCGCCAGUAUACUCGUACCUGCAGGAACUAUGACCAGUUGCAUCCCGGAAGCAUUGAUGCAAAGUAUGGCGGAACCACCUCUGAUUAACUUAACUAAAGCACGGUUAAGUCGCCUGAUGUGCGAUCCUCAUGCCUUAAUCAAGUUAACUCGAUGUGCCUGUGACGGCCUCGGACAAAAAUCCUUCGCGUCAAUCUUAAUCCGAGCCCCUGAUCACCUGUCUUAGUUUUUCCAAGCCUAAGUGUUCAACCUCCAGCUCUUCCGACCCCUGCGAUCCGACCCCUCGCCGUGGUCUUCCCAGUUCCGACCCCACCGACUGUUGGAGGUAUGCCCUAGAGGCAAUCAUAGAGAUGAUGAUAUUCCAUUUGUAUCCAUGAUUUGUAUAUUGUGUUCAUUGAAUAUCCAUUAAAGGCUACUUGAAUUGAUUUGCAAUUAUGUGAAUUGUAUGUGAAACUCUUUAGUUGUAUGGUUAUUCUAAAGUUGUCCCUAGUCGGAGUUCAUGUGAGGACACACAUGAAUAUUAGACUAGCACAUGUAUUAGUUGAUGACUAUGUUUCACAAGUCAUGGACAUGGAGAUGUUGAACUAAUAAUGUGGACACAUGUGGAGACAUGUGCUAGGACUGACCCAACACGAGAAGUAGUUCUCUCUUUAAACAACAUAUACGCUUUGUCCUUAGAUCUGAGAUUGUCGCAUGUAUUCUAGAUGUGGAUCGACCUACUUAGGGGCUAUCAAACGCUACGCCGUAAUAGGGUAGUUAUAAAGGUAGCUUUUGGGUUUGUCAAGAAGCAUGCUAUGAGACAUGGUCAAUCAAGAUGGGAUUUGCCCCUCUCUGAUUGAGAGAGAUAUCUCUGGGCCCCUCGAGUGAUCGGAUCCGAAAAUGCAUGGCCAUGCUACGUACGGUUAAGAGUUAACCUACAAAGAGAUUCCGAAUCACAGGAUCGAGAAAGAGCGGUCGGCUUGAAGCUAGACCAAAUAUCGUGAGGCAAAGGGAAUAGCAUGUAUAUUAUGUUGUGAUGGUUCGUCUGAUAUGAUCUUCGUGUGCGUAUAGGAGUUGACACGUCUUGCUAGAGGCCGCUACCAACUAUUGGGCCGAGUAGGAGUACUCGGGCCAUGUCUAUACGUAUCUGAACCCAUAGGGUCACACACUUAAGGGGCUGGAAGCCCAAUUCGGAUCUGAUCCGAGUUGGAUUAGGUUUAGAAGUACUAAUGGGCCUCGGACCCAGAGGCCCGUCAGGAACCUCUAUAAAUAGAGGGGUGGGGGCGCCCUAGGGUUUACACCUUUUGGCGAAACACAUCUGCCGCGCCUCCCACGCCCUCGCCUGUUGCAACUCAUGGAUCUAGCAGUCCGGCUUGCGACGCUUCCUCCCUGCACGUGUGGAUACCUUGGAGGUGUUGCGCCUGUAGCACUUGGACGAGCCGCCGACGAGCCACGACGAGCCGACGACGAGCCGCGGCACGAGGGCGAUCUUGCUGCACGUGGACGAGCUGCUGAGGAGCUGUUGGACGUUGACGUGAUCGACUACGUACGACUACGUUGAUCGACUACGUACGACUACGUGAUCGUCUUCACUGCAUCGACGCAUAUCUACAUCUUCCGCACCAGUAGUGCGUCGAGUGGUAAUCCCGUGAACCUUAUACGACAGCUCUUCCUGGUUUUACGCGGUAAAAAUUUUGAUUUGCGCUAGUGUAGCCUACCUCGUAUCCCUACACCGACCCCCAACCCCCGUCGGAUCUUCCUAAGCCAUCCCGCAGCAUUGCCCUCCAGUUCGAGCAGUGGACCACCGAGACUGACCGGUGGGCCCACUAGAUCUUUUCCCCCAGAUCUCCCGUGACAGGCGCACUCGAGUUGCAUGCCCGCUUCAGUUUUUCCCCGCCGCGUGGCUCAACUCCUUCGACGUCCGCCGCUCCACCUCGUCUCCGGCCCGCGACCAGAUGGAUUCUCGCGCCCCCUUCCCCAAUCGCGGCAGAAGCCCCUCUGCAACCCUUUCUGCAGUACCUCGCCGCCCGCGCCCAUCAUCACAUUGCCAGAUCCCGGCCGCAAAGCCCGAUGCCGCCCGUCUUUUCCGUCACCUCGCCACAGUCGCGCUGCCCCGGUCUUCGCUACACGACGAUUCCUCCUCCGCCAACCCAGACCGCGGCAGCGACAGCUCCUUUUUUCCGCCCUGUCAGAAGCCGCCCCGACAAUCUGUUGCUCCGCGCUCGCCCGCGCGCCCGCUGCCGCCUGUCUUCUCACCUGUGCGCCCUCGAUCCUAGUGCCGUUUUCCCAGUCACUUCCAUAAGAUCCACCGCACGACGACGCCCGCCUCCGCCAAAUCUCAACCACCGGCAAACCCGCGCCUGCGCCGCCCUGACGUCAGUGCCCAAUGACCGCCGGCGUCAUCCCCGAAGUCCUGCUUCACCGCCCUCGUCGCUUAAUUGCCGUCUCUCUUGCUCCCUGUUCGAACUCACAGCGCCACCACCUAAGUCUGAGGAACUCUCCUCUGUGCUCAAGCGCCACCGAUUUCCCCGAUCCGCCAGCCACUACUUUCAGUGCUGCCCAAGAGCUUGCUUGUGAUCCACAAGAAGCACCGCCGCCGCCGGACUUUCUCACCGCCAUCCCAAGCCCUUAGUUCUUCCGCCCAAGCCUCCUCUGUAAGACGAAGGUAGGCUGCCGACCCUUGUUCGCUUCGCGCAACCCCUCUUAUCCGCCCGACCCUGGUUCCAUCUCGCCCGACCCUGUCUGUUCCGCCGACCCUUCUCCGCCUCGCCCGAGGGCUCAGCUGUAUCUUUUUCUUUGAACUGAGGGUGUAUGUGCAAAACUUGGGGACCUUUCAGCGUUGAAUCUGAGGACCCCUAGUACAUCAAACCCUCUAGAUUAAGGGUCAGAUCAUAAGUUCUUUCCCCUCCGACCCUUACCUCUUGAUCUCCAUCAACUCCUUUGAACCUCCCCACCCUCCUGUAACUUGUCGCAAGUUUCUGGGCUCAGAUUUGCAAGUGUUGCUGUUGAAAUAACCGUCUAUCCUAACCAAUGCAUUGCAUUCGUGUAGAGCUGCGUCUCGCCGACGGCUACUACGAGCUGCACCCGGCGCCAGAAGACGACGGUGUAGUUGAGCUCCUGCCCCCAGAAGCUGAAGUUACCCCAGAAGUCGAGCAGUUCCCUUCCUCUUUGCUCGAAGGCAAGCCCCGGAUGCAUGAAUCCCCCUAUGUUUUACCAGACUUGCGCAUGCCUUCUUUAACAUGCUUGUGCAUUUACGUAUAGGAGUUGUUUGGAACCCUAGAUGCAUAACUUAGCUUACCUGAUCUGAACACUAGCUGUUGGACCGAGUAGAUGCUUGCUUAAAUAGGAAACGGUAAAAGCCGAGUGAUUCCCUGUCACUCGCGAGUUGUAGGAGUUGGAUGUUUACUCUUCUGUCACAACUAUAAGGAUGAUGGACGGGGCAGGGUUUUGGGUAACUCUUUGGUGGUCGGCUGAUCGCCCCGUCUGUCUAUGAAAAAUGCUAAGCCCCGACAGUGGUGGUGUUUGUGAUCAAGUGUUUGAAAGUACUAAUCUCAUACCUAGUAUGGGAUGAGGAAGCCUAGUACCUGAUUGAACUAGGGCGUGGCUUAUACCCCUGCUGUCCCUGGAACGAGGUUCCCAUGGUGCAUCAUGUGGGUGCAAGUGCGGUCACAGUACGGCAGAGGCCGGGACUGUGGAGCAUUGCAUGCCAAGGGAAGUUUAGACCUGACACGCGCCUGGGAAUUGAUGGGGACGGCCGACACGGGAAGCGGCCCUUGUGGUGUGCGGAUGUCGUGAGAUUAGGUUCGCCAUGCAUGGUUAAGAAACUCGAAUCGAUUCGUCUGCCUCUCAAAGUUUGAGACUGCUUGAUCGCUAUGUCACCCUGAGUAAAUAAGGAAUCUGAUGAUGACAUGGUUUUGCUGAUGUUGUAUAUACCUUUGAUUGGUUCUAUGAUUGCUUAGAAUAGGUUGCAAACUUAGAACGGAUAAUGAACUUAGAACCGGAGCUAAAACUUGAAAGUAGGGUUACCUCUAGUGCUUUUGGCAAACAAACCCCUCAGCCAAAAAAAGCCUUGCAUGUCUAGAAGAGGUAGUUUAGCGUGCUCCCUAUCGGUUAAGUCUUGUUGAGCUUAAUUAGUAGCUCAGCCUUGUUGUGGCUCUUCUUUUUCAGGUGAAGUUGCUGCUUCUAAGCCCCUUUCUGCUGGCACUUGGCCGCCCUAACUCCCUCCGGGUUGGACGGUCGAGUGGGAUCCCUCCUCGGACGGCGAGGAGAGGGAUCAGUGACGUCCCGGUUGGCCUCACCAGGGAUGUCCGACCCCGACGAAAUAGCUUCCGCUUGUUGUUUUAUCUUCGGUGGUUUUCUUUCAAACCUUGUAAACUCUGAUGAUGGUUUAUAACCAAACUAGAUGGUUAAUUUGCUUAACUUAGUGGACUUGUUGUAUUCUCUGGAACCGCUCACCUUCGAGUGGGUCUGCUAUUCGGUCCUGUUCAAGUGGUUAAAUCGGAUGAAAUCCGAUGGCACUUCGUGUUUACUCGGUUAGGCAUGAGCGUCGCGUGUCAUGCGGCUAAAUCAUGUUUAACUAAGCAAAUCCGAAGUGGAUCCGCCACAGUGCCGUUGGAUUUCAUCCGAUUUAACCACUUAACAGGAUCGAGUUAGCAUAGCUCACACGAAGGUGAGUGGUUCCAGAGAAUACAACAGAUCCACAAUUUGAUUAACAAGUUGUUAACAAGUUUACAAAGGUUGAAAGAAACAACAGAAGUUAGAAACAAGCGGAAGCUACUCGUCGGGGUCGGAUAUCCCUGGUGAGGCCAGCCAGGACAUCAAUGAUCCCAUUCCCCACCGUCCGAGGAAGGAUCCCACUCGAUCGUCCAACCCGGAGGGAGCUGGGGCGGCCAAGUGCCAGCAGCAAGCUCUGAAGCUGCAACUUCACCUGAAAAGAGAAGCCACAACAAGGCUGAACUUCUAAGCUCAACAAGACUUAACCGACCGGUGGGAGAAACUAUUCCACCACGGCUAGACAUGCAAGGCUCUUUGGCUGAGGGGUUUUGUUUGCCAAAAGCGACUAUGUUAGGUCCUUGCUUUCAAAGUUUUAGCUCAGAUUCUAAGUUCAUUUACCAGUCUAUGCUGGCAACUUACACUAAGCAAACAUAGAUCCAAUUUUAUGUAUAUAAGCUCAUCAUCAAGACCAUGUCAUCAUCAGACUCCUUCAUUACUCAGUGUAGCAUUAUGAUCAAGCAGUCUCAAACUGUGAGAGGUAGACGAAUCGAUUCGAGUUCCUUAACCAUGCAUGAUAAACCUAACCUCACGAUAUCCGCGCACCACCGAGGGUUGCUUCCUGUGUCGGCCUUCCCCAUCAGUUCCCUAACCCGUGUCGGGUCCACUUCCUUUGGUGCAAGGUUCCACAGACCCGGCCUCUGCCGUUCUGCGACCACACUUGCCACCACGUGCGGCCGCAGGGGAACUUCGUUUCAAGGACAGUGGAGCGACUGCUCACGUUUAGGUUCAAUCGGGUACUAGGCUUUCCUAUCCCAUACUGGGUAUGAGAUUAGUACUUUCAAACACUUGAUCACGAACACCGCCACUGUCGGGCCUUAACAGGUUCAGUAAACAGACGGGGCGAUCAGCCGACCACCAAAAGAGUUAACCAUAACCCUGCCCCGUCCAUUGUCCUUAUAGUUGUAACAGAAGAAAACAACCAACUCCUAUAACUCGCGAGUGACAGGAAAUCACUUAGCUUUUACCGCUUCCUAUUUAAGCAUUGCAACUACUCGACCCAACAGACUAGUGUACAUUUCAAAGGAACUAUAGCAUGCAUCUAUGGUUGCAAACAACUCCUAUACGUAAAUGCACAAUCAUGAGAAGGAAGGCAUGCGCAAGUUUGGAAAGAUGGGUUCAUGAUCCGGGGCUUGCCUUCAAGCGGAGAGGAGGGAAACUAGUCUUCAGCUGGGGCUGCUUCGGCUUCUGGGAUUGGCAGCUCAGAUACGCCUCUGUCUUCGGGCGCCGGGUGUAGCUCGUAGACGCCGUCAGCGAGAUGUAACUCUACACGAAUGCAAAUGCAGGAGUUAGUGUUUAGACGGUUAUUUCAACACACUUGCAAGUUAAAGCUCGGACACUUGUAGCAAGGCUACAGAAAAGGUGGGGGAAGUUCACUUUAGUUGGUGGAGAACAAGAUAAAAGGGUCGGAUGGGGGAAAACUUGGGAUCUGACCCUUAAAGUUAAGAAAUAACUGUGUCGUGGUCCUCGGACUUAACACCGGGGAGUUCCCGAUAUUUUGCACAGAUACCCUCGGGUCAAGGAAAAGGAUACAGCCAAGCCCUUUGGCGAGGUCAUAAGGGUCGGCGAAACAGAUAGGGUCGAGCGAGGCAAAAAAGGGGUCAGGCGAAUCGUAAAGGGGUCGGCAGCUUACCUUCAGGUUUAUAGGUGAAGCUUGGGGUCGGGAAGGAGCAGACUUGGGUGGAAGGACUUAAGCACUAAGGCUUGGGUGGCGGCGAGGUUGGACAAUGCUCCGGCGGCGGCAGAGCUUCUUGUGGGCAACAAGGAAGCUCUAGCACACCACGAAGGAGCAGACGGCUGGGUGGACUGGGGAGAAGUGGACUUGAGCGGAGAGGGGAACUUUUCGAGAUUUCAGCGGGAUUGCUCAAGUGCGCUCAGAGUAGGGGAGGUGAAACAGCAAGGGCGAAGGAACUCCGGUGGAACUCUGGCAUUCCUUUUUAUAGCUGCGCGGAAGAGAGAGAUUUCGAGCAGCACGAAGACCGGGAAGAAAAGGAUGGGGUGUGCUACCAUGAUGGCGAUUGAGCGGCGAUGGGCGGCGGAACUGGACCUUGGAGAUAGAGUCUUCGGCCAUUGGGCACUGGAGACAAGGCGGAGCAGGCGCGGUUUUGCCGGGGUUUAGAUUUGGCGGAGGCGAGCGUAGCCUGGUCACGUCGAGCGGCGGAUUUGACUGGUGUGACAGGGGGAAAGGUGCUACAAGCGAGGUUGCAACAGGUGAAGUGACAGGGCGAGCAGCGGCGCGAGCAAGUGCGAAACAGCGGCAUUGCCGAAGCACGUCACUGGUGGGGCGAGAAAAGGAGCUGUCGCGGCCAAAGUCGGGGUUGGCGAGGGAGGUAUCGUCGUGGAGUGAGCUCGUGGGCGGCGCGACUGUGGAGAGGCGGCGGAAAAAUCGGAAGGCAUCGGGUCUUGCAGCCGGGGAUCCGGUGAGAUGAUGGACGCGGGUCGCGAGGCGGUCUGACGCAGCAGCGGCAAAACUCUGCCAUGGCAGCGACGGGGCACCUUGGUGCGGCCGGCGAGGGCGCGAACGAGACGGGGCGAAGCAGAAAGGGUUGCAGAGGGGCUUCCGCUACGAUUGGGGAGGAGGGCGCGUGGAUCCAUCCUAUCGCGGCCGGCGGCUGGGCGAAGCGGCAGGUGUCAGAGAGAUCAUGCCAUGCGGCGGGGAAGCUCUGAAGCGGGCGCAUGCUGCUCGGCGUGUCUGCCUCGUGAGAUCCGGGGAGAAGAUUGUGGGUCCACCAGUCAGUCUCGGUUGUUCCACAGCUCCAAGAUUGAAAGGAACACUGCCUUUGGGUACUCAGAAGGAACCGGCAGUUUUGGUUGGGUUCUCAGGGGUCGGGACUAAGAACCGGUUUUUGGAGCGCUUAAGCUCAGGGGAGCUGAGACAGAGGGAUUAGGGACCCAGAUUAAGAUUAACUCGGCCGAUCAACCAAGGUCGUUACACCUAUGGGUUCGGAUACGUAUAGACAUGGCCCGAGUACUCCUACUCGGUCCAAUAGUCAGUAGCGGCCUCUAGCAAGACGUGCCAACUCCUAUACGCACACGAAGAUCAUAUCAGACGAACCAUCACAACAUUAUGUACAUGCUAUUCCCUUUGCCUCACGAUAUUUGGUCUAGCUCCAAGCCGACCGCUCUUUCUCGAUCCUGUGAUUCGGAAUCCCUUUGUAGGUUUACUCUUAACCGUACAUAGCAUGGUCAUGCAUUUUCGGAUCCGAUCACUCGAGGGGCCCAGAGAUAUCACUCUCAAUCAGAUAGGGGUAAAUUCCAUCUUGAUUGACCAUGUCUCACAGCAUUCUUCCUGACAAACCCGAAAGCUACCUUUAUAACUACCCUGUUACGGUGUAGCGUUUGAUUGCCCCUAAGUGAGUCGAUUCACAUCUCGAGUACAUGCGACAAUCUCAGGUCUAAGGAUAAAUCGUACUUGUUGUGUAAAGCGAGAACUACUUCUCGUGUUGGGUCAGUCCUAGCCCAUGUCUCCACAUGCGCCCACAUUAUUAGUUUAACAUCUCCAUGUCCAUGACUUGUGAAACAUAGUCAUCAACUAAUACAUGUGCUAGUUUAAUAUUCAUGUGUGUCCUCAUAUGAACUCCGACUAGGGACAACUUUAGAAUAACCAUACAAGUAAAGAGUUUUUUUAACAAUUCACAUAAUUGCAAAUCAAUUCAAGUAGCCUUUAAUGGAUAUUCAAUGAACACAAUAUAUAAAACAUGGAUACAAAUGUAAUAUCAUCAUCUCUAUGAUUGCCUCUAGGUCAUACCUCCAACACUCUCUGCGUAUCCUGCUGUCGAUUUCUCGUACGAUGAUGAUAGAGUUGGAGAUUUUCUCGUGACGCUUGGGCAUCCUCAUGGCAUGCGGGGCUAUCAUGAUGUAUGGAACAAUUCCGGCUUGGUCACCUAAGUUGCUUCCAUCCUAAAACAGCUACUGUUAAUCAUGUACGAAUAAUUAACACACGUGCGCGCGCACAGAGGCGUACAGUGCAUGCAUAUUGAUAGUAGCUAACGUGCACUACAUGAAUGUAUACUUGCAGCAAGGAGGUCGGUCCUACUGCCACUGGUUUGGGC
This 19826-nucleotide long non-coding RNA is filed under the name Setaria viridis. RNAcentral describes it as "long non-coding RNA (SVIR_LNC005176)". The record is from RNAcentral. Lineage: Eukaryota; Viridiplantae; Streptophyta; Magnoliopsida; Poales; Poaceae.